GACGAGGGGUCCAAGCGUUGUUCGGAAUCAUUGGGCGUAAAGCGGGUGUAGGCGGCUCUAUAAGUCAGAAGUGAAAGCCCCGAGCUUAACUUGGGAAGUGCUUUUGAUACUGCAGAGCUUGAAUGUGGGAGAGGGUAGUGGAAUUCCAGGUGUAGUGGUGAAAUACGUAGAUAUCAGGAGGAACACCGGUGGCGAAGGCGGGUCUCUGGGCCGAUACUGACGCUGAGGAGCGAAAGCGUGGGGAGCGAACAGG
This 253-nucleotide ribosomal RNA is filed under the name uncultured bacterium. RNAcentral's name for it is "partial 16S ribosomal RNA". It matches the Rfam family "Bacterial small subunit ribosomal RNA", at positions 524 to 776 of the family's 1533-position model. The record is from RNAcentral.